RNAcentral lists this ribosomal RNA (1875 nucleotides) under Candidatus Mycoplasma haematomacacae. Its description in RNAcentral is "bacterial SSU rRNA". The stretch from base 1 to 1419 matches the Rfam family "Bacterial small subunit ribosomal RNA". The record is from RNAcentral. Lineage: Bacteria; Bacillati; Mycoplasmatota; Mollicutes; Mycoplasmatales; Mycoplasmataceae.
AUACAUGCAAGUCGAGCGAACCCCGCAAGGGGUUAGCGGCGAACGGGUGAGUAAUGCAUACUUAACGUGCCCCGGAGAGGGGAAUAGCCGCCCGAAAGGGCGAUUAAUCCCCCAUAGGAGCCCCGACCAAGAAGGACGGGACUUUAAAGGAGCAAUCCGCCCCGGGAUUGGAGUAUGUUCUAUUAGCUUGUUGGCGGGGUAAAAGCCCACCAAGGCGAUGAUAGAUAGCUGGUCUAAGAGGAUGAACAGCCACAAUGGGAUUGAGAUACGGCCCAUAUUCCUACGGGAAGCAGCAGUAGGGAAUCUUCCACAAUGGGCGAAAGCCUGAUGGAGCAAUGCCAUGUGAACGACGAAGGUCUUUUUGAUCGUAAAGUUCUUUUAGGGGGGAAGACCAUGACGGUACCCCUUGAAUAAGUGACAGCAAACUAUGUGCCAGCAGCUGCGGUAAUACAUAGGUCGCGAGCGUUAUUCGGAUUUAUUGGGCGUAAAGCAAGCGCAGGCGGAUGAAUAAGUUCUAUGUUAAAUACAGCUGCUCAACAGUUGUUUGCGUCGAAUACUGUUCAUCUAGAAUGUGGUAGGCGGUUUUGGAAUUGAAUAUGGAGCGGUGGAAUGUGUAGAUAUAUUCAAGAACACCAGAGGCGAAGGCGAAAACCGAGGCCACUAUUGACGCUUAGGCUUGAAAGUGUGGGGAGCAAAUGGGAUUAGAUACCCCAGUAGUCCACACCGUAAACGAUGGAUAUUAGAUGUUGGGGUCUGUGCCUCAGCGUUGUAGCUUACGUGUUAAAUAUCCCGCCUGGGUAGUACAUAUGCAAAUAUGAAACUCAAAGGAAUUGACGGGGACCUGAACAAGUGGUGGAACAUGUUGCUUAAUUCGAUAAUACACGAAAAACCUUACCAAGAUUUGACAUCUCCCGCGAAGCCAUAGAAAUAUGGUCAUAGGUUAUCGGGAUGACAGGUGGUGCAUGGUUGUCGUCAGCUCGUGUCAUGAGAUGUUUGGUUAAGUCCCGCAACGAGCGCAACCCUACUCUUUAGUUACUUGUCUAAAGAGACUGAACAGUAAUGUAUAGGAAGGUUGGGAUCACGUCAAAUCAUCAUGCCCCUUAUGUCUUGGGCCGCAAACGUGUUACAAUGGUGAGUACAAUGUGUUGCAAGCCGGCGACGGUAAGCUAAUCACUAAAAGCUCAUCUCAGUCCGGAUAAAAGGCUGCAAUUCGCCUUUUUGAAGUUGGAAUCACUAGUAAUCCCGUGUCAGCUAUAUCGGGGUGAAUACGUUCCCAGGUCUUGUACACACCGCCCGUCAAACUAUGAGAGGGAGAGGCAUUCGAAAACGUAUUCAUUUGCGUCUAGAAUGAAUUUCCUGAUUGGAGUUAAGUCGUAACAAGGUAACCGUACGAGAACGUGCGGGUGGAUAAUCUUCUUUGCGAUUGGCUGUUUUUUAGCAGUCAACAUAGUUGAGGUUUUUUCUCGAAAAGUCUUUAAUAAUAGGUUCAUUUAAAGAAAACUCGAGGCGGAUGGUUUCCAGUUUUGAGAGAGCUACUUUUUUGCUUUCUCAGAUUGUUUUUAGAAAAUAGAAAAGAUAAUAACCGAGUUAACUUAAAAAAGUUAAUCAUGCGUGAAUUUGUGUAAGAGCUAGAGGUGGAUUUCUUGGAAAUGGGAGGCGACGAAGGACGUGCUAAUCUGCGAAAAGGCCGGGGAAGCUGGUAAGAAGCUUCGACCCCGGCAUCUCCGAAUGUAGAAAUACGACCUAUCUAGACGAUUGGUCACCGCCAGGCUAAUAAAUAACCUGGCGGGGUAAACCCCGCGAAGUGAAACAUCUCAGUAGCGGGAGGAAAAGAAAACGAACGUGAUUCCCUGAGUAGUGGUGAGCGAAAGGGGA